This is a long non-coding RNA of Amphimedon queenslandica, 280 nucleotides long. RefSeq lists it as uncharacterized. The transcript is spliced from 2 exons. Lineage: Eukaryota; Metazoa; Porifera; Demospongiae; Haplosclerida; Niphatidae. The record is from RefSeq and is a predicted model, not a curated record.
AUUUUUAUUUGUUGUGUAGGCGUUGACCCCUCCCCUUCCUCUCUUCCCUCCUAAUGCUGCUCCAGUCCUCCCUAGUCUCCUAACCUCAGCUGCUCUGGGCUACUCCUCAAGUCAAAAUAAAGACCCUAACCUUUGUAUUGUGGAUGGUGAUGACAAUGGUAACAAGAAGUCCAUGGUCCCUCCAGUAGCCACUGUCACCAAGACGCCAGUACCAAAGACCGAAGCUCCUUCUCUUGCUGAACUACAAGCUAAACUGAAAGGAUCAAAUGAUAAGAGAGAA